This is a long non-coding RNA of Oncorhynchus tshawytscha (Chinook salmon), 434 nucleotides long. The record is from Ensembl. NCBI's taxonomy places the organism in Eukaryota, Metazoa, Chordata, Actinopteri, Salmoniformes, Salmonidae.
GGAAAAAAGGUGCAUGUUUUGUUUACUUGCUCUAUUGAAUACAGAUUGCCCCGUCUACAAUUUGAUCGAUUAUUAACGUUUAAAAAUACCUAAAGUUGUAUUACAAAAGUAGUUUGAAAUAUUUUGGCAAACUUUAUAGGCAACUUUUGAAAUGUUUUGUAGUGAUGUUGUGUUGUGGAAAGCUGUUUUUUUCCGGAUCAAACCUGCUUUAUAAAUUGACAUUUUGGGUAUACAUGGACGGAAUUAAUUUUUAAAAAGGACCAAUUGUGAUGUUUAUGGGACAUAUUGGAGUGCCAACAAAGAAGCUCGUCAAAGAUGAUGUGUCUCCUCCUGAGCAACUUACGACCCCCACUGGAAAGCUCCGCAGGCAGAAUUAAUCAUCCUGUUCGUUGAAGCCAAAUUGUCAUGGAAAUUCUUACACAGGGAGACAAGAG